Peromyscus eremicus (cactus mouse) is the source of this 1240-nucleotide long non-coding RNA. RefSeq lists it as uncharacterized. The transcript is spliced from 2 exons. Lineage: Eukaryota; Metazoa; Chordata; Mammalia; Rodentia; Cricetidae. The record is from RefSeq and is a predicted model, not a curated record.
GUGAAGACUUCCAGUUGACCUUCGUUGUGUUUGGAGAAUGAUGGAAUUGAAUGAUGUCACUAAGGGACUCAUUCUUCCCACCUUCUAUUCAGCUGUCCUCAAUAUGGUGGCUCUGGGUCCUCGUUUGUUGUCUCCUGUUACAUAUGGAUGCCACGGCACCAGGAAAACACUUUCUGGUGCCAUAAGUACCGUCCGAACUUCUGCACCCUGUCAGUCACCGGGGGGAAGUGCUUUCAAGAGUCUCAAACAAUGAGGAGCUGCUGGGCUUCCGGUUUCCAUCUGUAGGUGGAAGGUGUCUUUCCAUCAUGUGGUACAAUGGAAGAUUUGUCCUUAGGGAUGGUGCACUAGCCACAGGAGGCCAUUUUCCUGGGCUUUGAUAGCCUCGUUUAUGCUGGAAGAACCACAUGGCACUUGAUAACAAAAGUAUGAAUGAUAAUAUCACUAUUAUUGUCGGCCCCUUUAUGAAGCCCUGGCUGGUCUCAAACUGCCUCAGCCUCCCAAGUACUGAGAUGACUAACAUGAGCCACCACAUCCAGUUGUGACUUCCACUUAUAAAGUCCCCUUUUUUGAACAAAAGUGCAUGGGGUCUUAGGUGACAAGCUUGUGUGGGCGUCAAAUGCAUGCUUUCAAGAGAGUAUAACUUUUGAGGCCAGGAGAUGUCUAGAGCAUCAGGAUUAUAAAUAAAUGGUGGGAGACACCACAGUCCUUUAGCUGUGGUUCUUUUUUUCCUCUGGCAAAGGCAAGGGUUUUGGAAGCACACAGGAGCCGAGGGAGCAGAGGUUUUCACCGUCUCACUCCGUGCUAUGCAGCCUGCCUCACACACGGACUGGAUAAGAGUGCAGAUCACUCACACUUGUGGAAUGAUGUUUAUUGGAAGAGAACACAUGGGGAAAUGUACAGAGCUGGCAGCCCCUGACGUUGCGAGAUGUGGCCAUCUGGGUAACAGCUUAGCAAGUCAUUUCGAUAAAUAAUGCCAUUUGGAGAGAGUUUCAAACCAAAGCUCGAUGCCAGAACGCUUUCAAGAAGGUUUUGCAAUUCUGGCGCUCUCCCUUCUUUUGUCAAAAACUCAUUAGAUCUCAUUCCAGCUACGCUCUGCUCUUUGGGGGCAUGGGAACAUUUGUCCUUGGCUUUUCACUGUGAAAUAUUAUUGGAAGAUUAAUAUCAGUGGAGUAAAUACUACACAGAAUAAAAAGAACCCAAAUUUAUUAUACAAAGAUAAAAUACCUUCUUUAGACUUUUA